CAACCCAGGGAAACUUGGGCUAAUACCGGAUAAGCCCUUCGGGGAAAGAUUUAUCGCCGAAGGAUCGGCCCGCGUCUGAUUAGCUAGUCGGUGGAGUAAUGGCCCACCAAGGCGACGAUCAGUAGCUGGUCUGAGAGGAUGAUCAGCCUCACUGGGACUGAGACACGGCCCAGACUCCUACGGGAGGCAGCAGUGGGGAAUAUUGGACAAUGGGCGCAAGCCUGAUCCAGCCAUGCCGCGUGGGUGAUGAAGGCCCUAGGGUUGUAAAGCCCUUUCGGCGGGGAAGAUAUGACGGUACCCGCAGAAGAAGCCCCGGCUAACUUCGUGCCAGCAGCCGCGGUAAUACGAAGGGGGCUAGCGUUGCUCGGAAUCACUGGGCGUAAAGCGCACGUAGGCGGAUUGCUAAGUCAGGGGUGAAAUCCUGGAGCUCAACUCCAGAACUGGCUUGAUACUGGCGGUCUNGAGUCCGGGAGAGGUGAGUGGAACUG
This 488-nucleotide ribosomal RNA is filed under the name uncultured earthworm intestine bacterium. Its description in RNAcentral is "bacterial SSU rRNA". It matches the Rfam family "Bacterial small subunit ribosomal RNA", at positions 144 to 669 of the family's 1533-position model. The record is from RNAcentral.